This is a non-coding RNA of Schizosaccharomyces pombe (fission yeast), 200 nucleotides long. The record is from the annotation of a GenBank genome assembly. Lineage: Eukaryota; Fungi; Ascomycota; Schizosaccharomycetes; Schizosaccharomycetales; Schizosaccharomycetaceae.
CUGGAAUGUCGGUAAUAUAAUAAUAAUACUAUUAUUAUUAAUAAAUAGUUCAUUAACCAUUCUUUAUACGCCCUUAAAGAAAGCAACCUGAACCCCUAAAAUUUGAUAUCGCUUUUGCUUUUUCCCAACAAAUAAUUGGCAUGAGAUUACCAAAUAGUAAAAUCCAUCAGUUUAAUGAAUUCGAUUCAUGGGCUAAAAGU